This 397-nucleotide ribosomal RNA is filed under the name uncultured bacterium. Its description in RNAcentral is "partial 16S ribosomal RNA". It matches the Rfam family "Bacterial small subunit ribosomal RNA", at positions 523 to 918 of the family's 1533-position model. The record is from RNAcentral.
AUACGUAGGGGGCGAGCGUUGUCCGGAAUGAUUGGGCGUAAAGGGCACGUAGGCGGCCCGGUAAGUCUGGAGUGAAAGUCCUGUUUUUAAGAUGGGAAUUGCUUUGGAUACUGUCGGGCUUGAGUGCAGGAGAGGUAAGUGGAAUUCCCAGUGUAGCGGUGAAAUGCGUAGAGAUUGGGAGGAACACCAGUGGCGAAGGCGACUUACUGGACUGUAACUGACGCUGAGGCGCGAAAGUGUGGGGAGCAAACAGGAUUAGAUACCCUGGUAGUCCACACUGUAAACGAUGAAUGCUAGGUGUAGGGGGUAUCGACCCCUUCUGUGCCGCAGUCAACACAAUAAGCAUUCCGCCUGGGGAGUACGGCCGCAAGGUUGAAACUCAAAUGAAUUGACGGGG